GCGGCGUACGGGUGCGGAACACGUGUGCACGACUUAAUCUGGGGGAAUAGCCUUNCGAAAGGAAGAUUAAUACCCCAUAAUAUGUUGAAUGGCUUCAUUCGACAUUGAAAACUCCGGUGGAUAGAGAUGGGCACGCGCAAGAUUAGAUAAGUUGGUGAGGUAACGGUCACCAAGUCUACGAUCUUUAGGGGGCCUGAGAGGGUGAUCCCCCACACUGGUACUGAGACACGGACCAGACUCCUACGGGAGGCAGCAGUGAGGAAUAUUGGACAAUGGGUGAGAGCCUGAUCCAGCCAUCCCGCGUGAAGGACGACUGCCCUAUGGGUUGUAAACUUCUUUUGUAUAGGGAUAAACCCACCCUCGUGAGGGUAGCUGAAGGUACUAUACGAAUAAGCACCGGCUAACUCCGUGCCAGCAGCCGCGGUAAUACGGAGGGUGCAAGCGUUAUCCGGAUUUAUUGGGUUUAAAGGGUCCGUAGGCGGAUCUGUAAAGUCAGUGGUGAAAUCUCACAGUUUAAUUGUGAAACUGCCAUUGAUACUGCAGGUCCUUGAGUGUUGGUGGAAGUACUGGAAAUAAGUAGUGUACGGUGAAAUGCGUAAU
RNAcentral lists this ribosomal RNA (600 nucleotides) under uncultured bacterium. RNAcentral's name for it is "bacterial SSU rRNA". It matches the Rfam family "Bacterial small subunit ribosomal RNA", at positions 95 to 694 of the family's 1533-position model. The record is from RNAcentral.